This is a long non-coding RNA of Neofelis nebulosa (Clouded leopard), 412 nucleotides long. RefSeq lists it as uncharacterized. NCBI's taxonomy places the organism in Eukaryota, Metazoa, Chordata, Mammalia, Carnivora, Felidae. The record is from RefSeq and is a predicted model, not a curated record. The transcript has 2 exons.
GAUUCUGUCCGCCCCGCUUUCAGAGCCCCGCGUUUCUCCGACUCUGGCUCCGCCUCUCGCCCUUGGCGCUGCCCUGAGACCCGUGCCCAGGGUGGGUCUCAAGGCCCCAUCACCUGGUCCCACCUCAGCUGGGCACACAGGUACCUACCUACCUACCCGGCCUUCUCCCUGAGAUUCUCCACUUCCUCCCCUGCUGGUCGGAUGACUCCUAGGGCACCAUCCUUACCUGAGGAAGCCACGUCUGCUGGAAUUGGAGCCCGCACGUUGCCACCGGGACCCCAGCCAGCCCCAGGAUGGCCCCAGACGCACUGACCGCACCCUUGCACAGAGCCCUGGGAUUGCACGCUGCUUGUAAAUCUACUCAUCUGUAAAAUGGGAAUAAUAAUACACUCCCUCUGGGAGCUGUUGUGAG